AAAAAAAAACGAAAAAAAAACGAUUGUAAAUCA
Molecule: small RNA, 33 nt
Filed under: Arabidopsis thaliana (thale cress)
Lineage: Eukaryota; Viridiplantae; Streptophyta; Magnoliopsida; Brassicales; Brassicaceae
Description: ATSL219340
Source: RNAcentral